UCCGAGCCGGGCUGGGAAACAUGGCGCCGGCUUGGGCUGGGGCGGGGCCCGGGCGAGCUCGCAGCCUGAGGGCGGCUCGAGCUGGCACCGCGGCUAGAGUUCUGGAUUCCCUACCCACGUUUGCAGGCCCUGAGCGCGCGCCCUCCCACGACAGGUGGACUUGCAUCCGGAUUUAUGAGCGGGCUGGGACGGGACGCGCACCGCGGAGUGACUUCUGGUGGUUGCAGUCACGUGGGUGUCCGCGGUCCCUGGGCGCUUUCCGUGUGCCCGCCGGGGGCCGGGACCGGGGCACAGGCUGCGGUAGGGAGGCCUCGGGGCGGCUGCUUCUCUAGCCCCCCCUCCCCCCCCCCCCCCCCGGAGCCCGGGGCCUCGACUGAGAAAGUGCUUGCCCUGGAGGAGAGCGUGAGGUCGCUCCGCCUGACUCUACGGCCUUCGCGGCCACGCUCACCGUCCGCCGUGGCCGCGGGAAGCGUUGCGGCGACACAGCAGACCCCUCCUCAGGGCCUGGAAUUCCUGCCGCGCCGCGCGUGGCUUCAGCUUUAAGGCUUGAUUCUAUCUUCGAAGGACCAACUCUUCGUGUAAAGCCUGUGCCCCGUGCUUGGGGACAGUUUUUCAAUAACGUCCUUAGGAGUGACGCUCUGGGAUUGGUGCCUGCGUUAGAAGUGCCGUUUGAACGUGUGUGAUUUUGAGCAAAUUCCUUGACUUCUCCGAGCCUCGGUUUUGCAUCUCCGAAUGGAAGUAAUCUGGUACUUGAAGGGUUUUGUGAAGAUUAAACGUAGAGCUGUGAGAACACAAGUGCUUGAUCAAUAACUACUUGCAAGCAAGAUACAACUUUACAAAAAUUCCAAGAGCCUCUCUGCAGAGCAGUGAUUUGUGUUGGAGGAGCAGCCAAUAGGAUGGUGGAAGUAGGACUAUUUAUGUGUCUUACCUCUUAUGGUUAAUCAUAGACUUAAUGGGAAAAACUUUGUGGUGGAUAUAUAUAUAUAUAUAUUCUGAAGUUCAAGGAGCCCCAGGAGUGAGAAGACAUGAUUCAGGGUGUCCAUGCAUCUCAGAGAUGUUGUGCCAAAACGUGUGUGCAUGACAGCAUUUUUCUUGGAGAGCUCAUAGGCUAAUUAACUUCUCAACAGCAACUGGAACCCAGAGAGGAAACAUUGCAAAAACAUCAGCCUCAAGCUCUGGAGCACAAUCACUAAGAGAGGAUCAUCCAUGAGUCAAUUCUCAACCUCUCUUUCUCCAGGGAACAAGAAAGCAAAAUACCAGAAUUCCAACCCAAGCAUGAUACGCAAUUCAACUUCGGGUGACAAAAUAUUUAUAGAUGACCCUGGGACAACUAAGGUGAGAGAGGGAGAGCACAAGCAGAGUGAGUGGGAGAGGGAGAGGCAGGCUCCCCACUAAUCAGGGAGCACAAUCAGGAGCUCAACCUCAAGACCCCAGGAUCACCACCCAAAAUGAAGGUAGAUGUUUAACCUCUGAGCUACCUAGGCACACUGGAUGAUAGAUAGGUAUUUAAGAAGGCACUUGUCAUGAGGACUGGAUAUUGUAUGUAAGUGAGGAAUCACUGAAUUCUACUCCAGAAACCAGCAACCAAUAUUGCACUCUAUUUUAACCAAGUAAAGCUUAAGUGAAAAAAAAAAAAAACCUACUAUAUUGAAUAAAAGUAGGGUAAUGGCUCCCCAGGCUUAUUUAUGAUCUCAAGGUAAUUUUAAUGUUUCACUUUUGGGGGAGGAUAUUUGCUGCUAAGUUCUGGUGUAUAAUGAUUUUAAUAGCUUAAGGAACUUCAUUUCUAUUCCAGGUCUGCUGAGAAGUGUUGUUUUUUAUAAAAUUAUAAAUAGGCAUAAAUGUUUAAUAAAA
This is a long non-coding RNA of Canis lupus familiaris (dog), 1851 nucleotides long. RefSeq lists it as uncharacterized. Lineage: Eukaryota; Metazoa; Chordata; Mammalia; Carnivora; Canidae. The record is from RefSeq and is a predicted model, not a curated record. The transcript has 6 exons.